This 41041-nucleotide long non-coding RNA is filed under the name Fragaria vesca (wild strawberry). RNAcentral's name for it is "long non-coding RNA (FVES_LNC001793)". The record is from RNAcentral. Lineage: Eukaryota; Viridiplantae; Streptophyta; Magnoliopsida; Rosales; Rosaceae.
UAUUUGUAGGUGUAAUAAUAUUGCUAGUGGAACAUGCAAAACUUGAAAUAAAUAAUAAAAAAAUAGAAACAUUUACUUACGCCAUAUCAACAACUCGUUCAUUUUCUUGAGGAGCAAGGGCCAUUACAGGCAAAAAGGAGCUUGCACUUUGAAGCUGAGUAAGCAAAUUUUAAUAAUAAAUAAAUCAUUAAACCAUCAAAUUUGCCAUGAAAAUUGAAACCACAGAACAAUAAAAACUCAAAAACCACCUACCAUGUAAUAACCAGCCAUAUAUUCUGGGGUGGCACCAACUGGAACUUGUGAUUCAUACACAACCAGUCCAACCUGCAGUAAGAAUUUGAAAUUGAUGAGAAACCAGAACGAGAACAAGUAAUGCAGGAAAAAGAAUGUGAAGUAAUCCUUACUUUUGACCACUUGCUUAAGGGAUCUAGGUUUACUCCUCUGUUUAUCAAACUAGCUGCCAAAUCCCUCCUUCGUGUCUAUGCAAAAAUGGAAAAUAACAUUGAUAAGAAUACAAACUCUUCAAAAGAAAACACCAGAAUGAAGUCACAUCAUGUUGGUUUUUUUCACCUUUAGAGUGUUAGUUCGGAGACACAUAGGUCGAGGCUUUUCAAAAGCUUCUAUGAGCUCCACAAGUUCAACAACCGGAAACAUCUAAAAAAGCAAAAUGCAAGACUGAUAAGUUACCCAAAAAAACAAAGAAACUAAAGCUCCUCAGUACAAAACAGCUGCUUUAAAGAAUCAAUCAGUCACCUCUACUAAAGCUCCAAUCAGAAACUCAUUGUAGCCAUAGUAUGAGCUUAAAUCUCUCUUAAGCUGUUCAACAUAAUCCUUCCUUGAUGCCCCCUCUUUUGGCCUCAAUGCCUUGAAAUUCGAGAGCACUCGAACAACUAUUAUAAAACAUCAGAAUUAGGCCCCAACAAACAUUAACCACUUAGGAAUUAGCCAAAUAUAUAAUAUACAGAAACAACUUACUCUCUUUUAUCCUCCUCUGGAGGUUUGAAAUAUCAGGAGGUUGAUGUGCCUCAUCUUCAAGUUCCUACAUCAUUAACCAAAAUGAAAAUUUGGGCAUGAUAAAUAACAUCGAGACAUAAUCAAUUAAUAUUCCAAAGAAGCAAACCUUCUGCGUUGGUAAUCUGAACUCAUCAGAUUCAUCCUUAAUAUUCAAUUCCAGUUCCUUUCUACCUUCUUCCUCUUCCAAUCUCGUUUUUUCGUCAAUGCGCCUUGAUUUCUUCUCUAUAUCACCGGCGUUGGAAUCUGAAUCCGACUCCGAAGAACCUUUCUCUACAACAAAACAAUUUAUAUACGAUGUUAAAAACACUGCUGAGAACAAAAUCAAUAACAGAAUCCAAAAAUGAACAAGUGCUUAGUACCAUCAUCAUCUUCAUCUUCGUCACUUCCUGGAAGGGACUCGUUGUCGUCGUCGUCGUCUUGGAGGGGAUCAUCCCCACCGAAAAUGUCAGCGUCACUAUCAGAACCAGAUCCUUCCUCAUCUCCUCCAUCAAACUCUUCAUCAAGUUCCUCUAUCUCUUCUUCUUCAUCAUCAGAAGAAGGCUCGAAGACUUGCUCGACUUUCUUGGGCUUCUUUGGAUUUUUGGCAGAGAAAGGCUCCUUCUUUUGCUUCUUAUUGGGGGAAGCCUUCUGGGGUUUUGGCCCCUUUCUCUUGUUGAGCGCAGAGGUGCCCAUUACUGUUGAAGAGCUGCCGGGAUCGGCUGCCGGAGUUGACUUGAAGAAAUCGAGAGAGAGAAGGGGGGUUGGGUUGAGAGUGUGAAUUUAGGGUUUAGGGUUUUGGUGUGGGAGGCGGGAGGAGAUAUUAUUAUUGUCUAGGUUUUACGGGAAAUCUCAGGGCACCCGCGCCUCUACUAGUUACACUGACCUUUACUUUCUUCUUCCCAUUCUAUCCUCCACAAUAAGACGGCCCUAAUUUUUUUUUUUUUUUUGAUUGAAACGGAACUAUCAUUAAUAUAAACUAAAAUCAAAGACUAAAAUUUCGACUUUCGAGAAAAUUUUAAAGGUUAAAAAUAGUCGAAAUAUCGGAAAGUAUUGAUAUUUAGAAAUGAAAGAUAAAAGGAUUGUGAAAAUAUAUAGUUAGGUUAUAUAUAAAAAUGUCCUAAAUAUUACUCAAAUGUCAACUUAGCACGAUUGGAUAAAGUGUUUGGAUGACAAUGAGACAAUCGAGGUUUGAUUCACAUGGGUAAACCCUUGAUUUUUCUCGAUGAGCCACCAAAAGAGAUCAAACUCUCUCAUCAUAACUCUAAUUGCAUCAAGAACUCCUCCAAUGUUGCUCAAAUCUCAUCCAUUAACUUCAAGUCCAUUCAACACAUUAAGAGCAUCACCCUUCACCAAGAGACUUGUUAGAGCAUCUCCAACAGCUUCUCCAUUUUCUUGAACUUCUUAAUUUUGGGGAAUAUAGAGCUGCUUUUAGGUUCAACAGUUUCCCCAUCACAUUCUCCAAAAUGGGGAUGAAGAAGAAAAAAAAGUCUUCAUUCCCUAAAUUUGCAGCAAAGUCUUCCUUCCCCAAAAUUAAAUUCUUCACAUACUCCAACGAAUUUAAAACAACAAUAAAAUAUUUGAUUGGGUAGUUUAUUGUUACAAUGAAAUAUAUAAUGUUUUUUUGUUAUAAUUCAUGAUGAUAUAUUAUAUUUUAUUGUUGUAUUAAAUGCCGAAAUCUCCAAAAUAGAGAAGCUGCUGGAUUUUGAUCAUAAUUUUUUUUGGAGAAUUUAGCUUUUACUUUCCCAUUUUAGAGAAAUUUUGGAGAUACUGUUGGAGAUGCUCUUACACCCAGUUGUUUGCAGUAAUUAAGGCCAUACCAGAGUGGAAGAGCUUUUGUUGCUUCCGGAGUGAGAGGGAAAGGAAAUGGCACAUAGAGGCCCCCCCCCUCCCCCCGGUUAAACUUCCUGUUACACUAAACAAUGCCAAUCUAAGGCCAACUUUCCCAUUCUCUUUGUCCACCGCACCAUCAAAGUAUAUUAUUGGGCAACAAUUAUCACCAACCUCAGUUUCUAUCCUCACCUCUUAGUUUCCAUAUUGACAUGUUGUUUUGAUUCCUUAUGAUAAGUAAACAGUAUAAUAGAAUGAAAUAUUCUCAUAUCGAUUUUUAUUGAUACCAAUUCAUGAUAAUUUUCAUUCCAAGUUAGUAAACGUGCCCUAAGUGUUUUUCUUUCAUUGUGUGCGUGUUGAUCUGAGAGAUCCUGAGACGGAACCAACAUUUCUCUAUUAUGCGACCCGGUAUUGUCAUCGAUUUUGAUCAAUUUUGGCUCUUGGCAGCUCCAAUCCUCCAUUCGUUGUUGAAGGCCACUAACCACGACUAACCUCUUCAUUAGCUCUCACUUAUGAUUCCAAAAUGUUCUUACCAGCAACUUCAUUACAAACUGAAAACAAUAAUUGACAUGCACCCAUCGGUCAUUGACAACUUCUCUCAAAAGUGACAUCUAGUUUGUUGACCAACAACUCGGAUAUGUUAUUGGCCGACUAACCACCUCACAUUCACAUAUGAACACAAACAUAAUAUAAAUUAUGAUUAAAUAUUUGUGACACUUUAUACUUUGCACCCUAAAAAUAUAUUGUGAUCCUUGUGGAUGAAAAAUUAGGAUCAAAUCUUUUAAAAAAAAAUUGGAUUAAAGAGUAUGUAUAUGUGGAACAUGAUACUUAAACAUAAUUCCAAAAGACAUGUAGUAGAUAUCUAAGCUCUUUGACAUAAACUAUUCAGCAUUAUCAAGUUUUAUAGAUUUAAUGGGAUGAUCCAUGUAGUGAUAUGUAUACCUGGUGGUCUAUCACUCUUCCUUAGCGAAGCCACGACUCUAGCCUCACUCUUAAGCCAUCAAAAUCUCAAAAAACGGUUACCAUGCAUUUUUAUGAUAACAAUAUCAUGCAAUUUUCAAAUAUGUAUUGACAUUCUAUAAAAAAAAUCACUAAUCAAGGGAGUUAUGGGUCCCUUACCAGGAAUCCGAGGCUUUCCUCACGAACUCCUAGAAUCACGAGCAUUUCGCUUCUCGGGUAAUUACUUGAUUCCUUAACAUUCGACAUAUAAUUGUAAAUAACUCAUCGAUGACAUGUAUAUUAUAAAGUCAGGAGGACUAAAUAAACAUCUGACCAACUUUGUCGUGUGUUUGACCAAUUGAUACUGCAAUACCCCGGAAAUUUAUCGAGCUUAUUAUAUCAAGAUCGUUAGAAGAUAAUUUUACGAUCUUAGUUAUUAAGUUAGUGCACGAGAGUAUUUUUUAUAAAUUUUUAUCAGGUGAAAACCUUGAUAUUAGAGUUUGAUAUUAAAGUAUGAGAAAUUUUAAAUACACACCCUUAAUAUCUUAAUACACACCCCUUACUUAAUACACCACCUAUCAAGUUUUUCAUUUCAGUAUUAUACUUAAUACACAUCCCAAACUGCCUAAAAUGCCCUGAAUUUAUGAAAUAUUCCGUUAUUUAAUAUAAUUAAUAUAUAUUUACUAUUUGGUACCUCUUUUUACAUAUUAUUUCGUCUAAUUUUUGCUAGAAAUUUGUAGUUAUCAUCGUUCAAUUUAUAAUCAAAUGAUUAUUAUUAUAUCCCAACUCCAAAUCACCAAUACAAGUUUUCAAAAUUCACAAACUAGUACAAGUGUAGAAGUACAAUAGCUAUUUAACAUAAAUAGCUAGUUAUUCGAUAAAACAUGUCAUGAUAAAAAUGCAGUACUUGACAAUAUGAUCUACAAGAUCAAACUAAAGCUGAUAAAGAUAUAGUACUUGACAAUAUGAUCUGUAAGAUCAAACUAAAGCUGAUACGGAUAUAAAAAAAUAAAAUAAAAAAAACAACUCAAAUAAAUUGUGGAGAAGAAUUGGGGUUAGGGGAGAAGACGUGUUUUCGACUAUUUUAGGGUAGAAGACGUUGAAAAGAAUACUUCUAGAGUGAUUUUUUUUUUUAAUAAUAGAUGUAUGUUUUGGUCAUUUAGCUUACCUAUAAAAUCUCAAUAGAAACAUAAAACAAUAGGGGUGUGUAUUAAGAGAUUAGGGGUGUGUAUUUAAAAUUUCUCUUAAAGUAUGUGCCAUCACGAGUUUGUAAAAAUUUUCGUGGAAUUUUCCGGGAUAUUGAGCUAUUUUUGUAUGAAUUUUCGAAGUUUUAAAAUAUUAGAAAUUAUUUAGAAAUUAAGAAUAUUUAGAUUAAGUCGUAGAAAAUUCUAAAUAAUUUAUAACUAAGCGGUCACAAAUAUAACUAAGUGGUCAUUUCCACAUUACUCAUUUUUCUUCUUUCUUCUUUUUACUAAUAUAUUGCUAAGUUACAUAAGUAAUAAUAUAUGUUUUGGUUUGAUUGGCUCUGUAGAAAGGAUGCAAGGCGAAAUCAGAUGUGCCAAGACUAGAUCAACUCUAUAGUGCUACGUACACAAGAUUGUUAUCUAUUACUGUUUUUGUAAUAGCUCCCCUGACAUUAUAACAUAUGCAUCAACUCUAUAGUGCUACGUACACAAGAUUGUUGUCUAUUACUGUUUUUGUAAUAGCUCUACUGACAUUAUAACAUAUGUGACUACAAUCAACAUAGUACAUAUGUGACUUUUAUUUUCUGAUUGUUUCCCGCAGCAACGCGCGGGCAACAAAAGCUAGUAAAGUAGUCAUAGUAGAAGGAAUUUGACAACUAUUCCUCAUUUUGAAUCAUAUAUAUUCGGGUUUUUCAAUUUCAUACCUUUCUUUUAUCUGAUGCUGAAUUUGAAUUGGACGAAUUGCUUUCCAAACAGAAAAUUUCUCUUUACAUGUUGUGAUCGAGCUUGAGAGGAGUGAUCUUUCUCCGGGUAUGCUUUACUUAUGCUAAGUUUUUGAUUUUGGUUUGCAUUUGAUUUGAUUUGUUUUUGUUCUGAAUUUGCUUCUUGAUUCUUCGUUUUGUUUUGUCGGAUGUGGCUGUGGGCGUUGGUUGUUUUUGGGUGAUUGAUUCAAGUAAGCUUCGUGUCCUUCAUCAGCUUCGUGUUCUUCGUGUUCUCUAAUGUCUCAGUAUUUCUUAUCCUUUUCUUUUGGUUCUGUCCAUUUUUAUUUAUUUAUUUAUUUUUAUUUCAUUUUUGGUGUGGAGCCGAUGAGAUAUCUUUGAGUGAAAAUCUAUGGAGGAUUUGUUAACAUGUGCCUGGUCGAGUUUGGUUGGAUCCAGUUUGUUAGUUUCUCAGCUAUAUUCUUGGUGUUGUUAUGCUUGACUUUAUUGGCUUUUGCGUUUGCAUUUCAAUUUAUAUUGUGUUUUCAUUUGAAUUUUUUUUUGGUGGCAUGAAAUUUGGUGUUUGAAUGCAAAGAGUGUAAUAUAAAUUUUCCCCAAGAUGGAUUCGUGGGACUAUAGAUUCGGGAAGUUCCCAAUCCUCUGCUCAGAGCGAAUAGAUAAGUGCUUUUGAAUUUUCAAAUUUUUUCAUUCUGUUUUUGUGUGGUUUUUAUACUGUGUGAGAUUGUGUUUAUCAUUUCAAGAAGGAUAACUGUUCCCAUUAUCUGAUUUGAGCUGAUUCGGCGUUUGUCUGUUCUGCAGUCUAGGACCUCAAUGAUCGAUUGCACCGAAUUCCAGUAUAUAGCUUGCUGAUUUGAGUUUCAUUUUUAAGCAGUUUUUCAGGUAAAGUUACAAACUUUACAUGCAAUGUUCUCAAAUAAAGAAAACUGUUUGCUGAUUUGAUUUUCAUUUUUUAGCAGUUAUCAGGUAAAGUUACAGUUUACAUGCAAUAUACCCAAAUAAAGAAAACUGUGUUUCUUUCCUUUUGAGUUUCAAUCUGAUUUUCGUUUCUUUCUUUCUUUCUUUCUUUCUUCUUGUUGCUUAUCAUGUCAAUGUGGAUUUCUAACGUCAGGGUGAACUCAAGAUAGCAGAUUUUGGGUGGUCAGUGCAUACAUUCAAUUGCAGGCGGACCAUGUGUGGCACUCUUGAUUACCUCCCUCCUGAGAUGGGUAUGUUAAAAGACAAGAGAUGGUGUUUUGAAAACCAGUGCUUUUAUGUGCUCUAAUGUCUCAGUAUUUCUUAUCCUUUUCUUUUGGUUUUAUCCAAUUUUUUUUUCAUUUUCGGUGUAGAGCCGAUGAGAUAUCUUUGAGUGAAAAUCUAUGGAGGAUUUGUUAACAUGUGCCUGGUCGAGUUUGGUUGAUUUUGGGCGGGAUCCAAUAUGUUAGUUUCUCUGGUAUGUUCUUGGUGUUGUUAUGCUUGACUUUAUUGGCUUUUGCGUUUGCAUUUCAAUUUAUGUUGUGUUUUCAUUUGAAUUUUUUGUUUUGGUGGCAUGAAAUUUAGUGUUUAAAUGCAAAGAGUGCAAUAUAAAUUUUCCCCAAGAUGGAUUCGUGGGACUAUAGAUUUGGGAAGUUUCCCAAUCCUCUGCUUAGAUCGAAUAGAUAAGUUGAGUGCUUUUGAAUUUUCAAAUAUUUUCAUUCCAUUUUUGUGUGGUUUUUAUACUGUUUGAGAUUGAGCUUAUCAUUUCAAGAAGGAUAACCGUUCCCAUUACCUGAUUUGAGCUGAUCGGCGUUUCUGUUCUGCUGUCUAGGACCUCAAUGAUCGAUUCCAGUAUAUAGCUUGCUGAUUUGAUUAUCAUUUUUUAGCAGUUUAAUGAGGUAAAGUUACAGUUAACAUGCAAUAUACCAAAUAAAGAAAACUGUGUUUCUUUCUUUCUGAGUUUCAAUCUGAUUUUCGUUUCUUUCUUUCUUUCUGUCUUUUUUUUGCUAUCGAGUGCCACCCGAAUACUAAAUUGGAGAGAUAACUGGACCUGGCUGGAAAAUAAAGAUGGUGAAUGUAAGUAAUAGCUCAAUUGCUUUGAUCUUCGGCAGUCACCAUCUUUUCAAACAUAACAGCAUGUUUUAUUUGAUGAAGAAUGUGAUGCACAUUGUUAUUUUUGACUGGGUUUUCUGUUUCCUUGAUUUGAGCUGAUUCGGGUUUUGUCUGUGCGGCAGUCUAGCACCUCAAUGAUUGAUUGCACCGAAUUCCUGUAUGCGUGCUGCAACAGGGGUGGACUCGGUUUCAUUGAGUUGGUUAUUAUGAUUGCUUACAUCUCAGUGAGAAUAGUGAUCUUUCUCCGGGUAUGUUUCACUUUACAUCUCUUUACUUUGACUAAAUGCCUUGAAAAGCUUCUUCAAACCGUUGAAAAGUCUUGAUUUAUUAGUCUCUCACUGCUUAAAAAGAAUUCUGAAAUAUUCUCUUGCAGGAGGUAAUUCAGCAAAGAAGGACAUCAUCAUUGCUGGAUUCCUUAUCUAUUUCAACAAAGAAGAUGAUUUGCAGAGGUAUUGUCUUGCUGACAACCAUAGCGUUUGAAGUUUCAGUUUUGAGAUCCUAAGUUUGAAUACUAUAUCUGUUGUCUUACUAAUCUUUCCAGUCUCUGCUUUUAGAUGAGAUCUUUUAUGAUACUGCUGGCAUUUGCAUUUCUUAAUCUUAUCCGUAAAGCAUAUAAAUUUCUGUAAAUGUAUAUAAAAGGCGCCAAAGGUAUAGAAUAUAAUCUUACCCUUUGUCUUGGGCCUUAUAGACAGAAUAGAUAACAGUUUUAUUUAUUUGUUUAAGAUUGUAUUUAUUCUCAAAUAGUGUGUUUUUCUUUUCACAGGGGGAACUUUUUGAAAGAUAUUUUGAAGGGUGUACUGUUUUUAUUUAGAAGGUAACUUCUCAAUCUUUUUCAGUUUUGGUGUUAAUUGGAUCCAAGUGGUCGUUUUGCAAUGACAUUGUAUAAUUAGUUUGCUACGGAUUUCUACUGUUUGUUUACAAAUUGGUGAAUCAUUGUGAUUUUGUCAAAAGUUUAUUCUGAUGUGGUCAAAAGUUGUGUGCUUUACCUUUUUUUUUUUUUUUUGGUCUCCUGCUAACUUGCUCCGUUUUUUCAGGUCAUGUUGCUACUUUCUUCUGAUGGUUUCAAUCUUUGUGUGGCUAAAGUAUUUUUUGAUAUGGUGCUAUUUCCUGUUCUUGUCACUGGUAUGUAAUAUGUAAUGAGUUUUUUGUCUUUUCAUUUUAUCUUAUUAACACACACACAUGCUAUGUGUACUUGGUAUUUAUAUUUUGUUAGAAUUAUAAGAUACUUGUACUAAUAUCAUGGUUUUUACUAAUAUCACACACACAAGAUAUAUCAUGGUUUUUAAUUAAUGUUGUCCACUGGGUAAACUUUUACUAUUGCUAAAAGUAAUAUGCCAAACUGUCUAAACAAUUGCUAAAACUUGGAAAGCUUUUGGAAGAAUUGGCAUGCUUGGUGAUAAUAUUAUGUAGUGAACCAAUUUUCUCAAGCACUGAUGUCUGCCUAAUGAUAUAGAUGUUUGACUCGUUUAAUUAUUUUUUCAUUUGAUUGUUGGUUCGAGAGUGGUUCCAUGCCUUAUGCUUAUAUCCACUAUCCUUUUGAGAAUGAUUGAAGUUUAUGAGAAAAACUUUACUGGAAAUUUUGUGGCUGGAGGGCUGGAUCAGAUUCGUGGAUGCUAAGUUUAUUGUAUUUGGGGUUUCCAGUUUUUCAGUUCCUUUCAUGUUGGCUAUCACUAAUUGUAGUCAUACAGCUGAGUUGGGUUAGUUAAUGUCAAUCGUCUAGAACUUCCUAAUUUUUCUAUAAUCAAUUAUGUAUGUACAUGUGUGGCAAUGAUACUUCUUUCCACAUGGAUUCUAGUGUUAGAUGAAGACUCCAAAAACUAUGAAGUACAGUUAAAAACAGAAUAGGGUGUUUGUUUUGGUGACUAAUAGAAAAACCCUUUCGUGUGUUCGUAAGUUGUGUUUUUUUCUUUUUAAUUAAUAUAAUGAUUGAUGGCUGCCUAUUGUAGGAUUAGCUUCCUUUCUGUUAGCUUUUAUCUUAACUUGGGCACAAGCUUCCAAUGUCUAAGCUAGGCCUCAUUUUUUUCCUUCCGAUUAUGCAGGUUCUACACUCUUGUGGUGUUAUACCUGUCUUUCAGAAUCUCAUUUGUAAUGGACUUGUACUUGCUGAGGAUGGUAAAAAAAAGGUGUAAAAGUCUGAAAAAUUAUCCUCCUCCAAUUGAUGUAAUCGAUCAGUAUGUAGCUGUAUGUGUUUAUAGUAACUGACUGUUCGUAUUAUAGUUUCAGUGCCUUUUCUUUUCCUGGCUUCUUUGUCAAAUGGUGGGAAGAUGCUAUAUUUCACAAAAAUCAUGUCUACUGAAAUUUCUGCUGUGCAGGAUUCAGUACGAUUAUACCUAAUUAACUCUCCUGUUGUGCGCGAGGAACCAUUACGUGUCAAGAAGGAAGGAGUUUACUGUGUUGUAAGUGUUAUUUAUCUAUUCCUGUAUUAUGUUUUCAUGUUGGAGUGCUGCUUGUUGAUCUUUGUUCUUUGAAUUGAUCCGGUGGUACUUUUAUCUUUGGUUAAUUUCAGGUCAAGCAUGUAUUUCUACCAUGCCUAUAGGUUCCUUGUCCAGAAUGCAAAGAGACUUGAGAUUGAAGGGUUUGCCCCUUUUGUCCCUAUUGAUCAAGCCCACUACAAAAGUCAUCUGAUGUGCUUGACCAGUGGAUGAACUCGGCCACACAGAGUCUUGUGUAUUUUGUCCGUCAGGAGAUGAAUGGUUACCGACUUUAUACGGUUAGCUGUCUAUGAAUUACUGUGUUGGUUGUUCUGUGUUGAGUUGUUGUUGAAUUGUUGGUUUUGAUUUUCACGUCGGUACCAUGGUGGAUUUGGAAUUGAAGCAGCAAAGCAAAGCUACUGUGUUGGUUCACAAGGGUAAGGAUUUCCCUUGUUUUGUUGCAGUGUUGUUUUCUUGUGUGGUUUUGCUAUUGAUGGCUGAUUUGAGUGUUUUCGUUGCUUGUAUGUCGAGAACUUGGUGUUUUGAAGAAUACGGGGAAGUCGCCGGAAUUCGGCGGCCGAUUCCGGCAGAGAGCUGAGAAGGCAGUGUUCGACUUUUCCUUACGAAUUGUGUUGUAAUUACCCGUCUGAAAGUCAAAUCUUUGUGGGAGUUGGGUUUCUCUCUGGUUCAAUAGUGUUGGUUCUUUCUCUAUUAUAGUAUAUGAUUUUUGGUUUUGGUUGUGUAAUAGAUUGAUGGAUAUGAGAUUGAAAAAUCUAGAUGGCUGUGUUAUUGUAGGUUGAUAUUAUUCUUUCAGAUGGUUAUUUGGCUAGAGCUGCUGUUCCCAGGUGCCUCUAUGGGUAAGUUUAGUGAAAAUUUUUUAAAGUAAUCUUGGGCUAUUUAGAGCUGCUGUUCCCAUGUGCCUCUAUGGGUAAGUUUAGUGAAAAUUUUUUAAAGUAAUCUCGGGCUAUUUUUACAGUGAAAAAUUGUUGUCGUAGUCACGAGGUAGUGAAGAGUGUUCCUCAAAGAAGCUGGCGAAUCUAGGGCUGGGCUCCGGCAACGACGAUACCCUUAAUACUAAGGUAAAGUAAUUCGAUUUCUAGCUGAUCGAUUGUGUGGGUUCUUCAAAAUUGAAUCCUGAUUUUGAGAUUUUGUUUAUUUCAUGAUGAUUGAUCAGGUAUUUUUGAUGGUGGAUAUUCUUUGCAAUGAAUUUGAUUUCAGAUUGAGAUAGCUUGCUGAAGCUGCCCAAGGUGUUCUUAAGGUAUCUUUUCAACUUCAAUUUUAUUUUGUCAUAAAAAGCUAUUCAAUCCAAUUUUUGGUUCAUUACAUGUUCGAUUUUGAUGUUAAUUUGGUAUGUUGGUUUUCUGGGUUUUCGACUUAUUGGUGGUGCUGGGAAGAGGAUAUGUUCUUUUUGGAAAGCCAUGCGAUUCAUGAUUUGUUGAGGAAAUCAGGUAACAAAUAAUGCUGAAAAGUACAUAUGUACAUAUAGAUUAGUGAUCAAACCAAUAUUUAGGUAGUAGUUUUAUAAGUCAAUACUAUGGAAUGCUUUGUUUUGCUUACUAAAUGCUAAGCAAAUUCAGAUUUUCUGUUGGGUGCUCUCAAAGUUGUCCUGUGGCAAUACUUAUGAUGAUACAUGCCAAGUAGUAUAAUAUAUUCCAUGCAGUUGUUGUUUCCUUCUCAGCAACUGAAUGUGUUUUUGGUGAUUGGCUAAUAUAAUCAGUUUCACUACUGGAAAAUGGUCACAUCUGUUUGUGUUGCACGAUGUCUAAGAUGUAGUGAUUAGUGGAUUAAUGAUGAUAUUGAUUAUGGGAUGUCAUUUGUGCUAGGUUUAGUGACAAAGGUGGAUAUCAAUCUGUGUGCAUUUUUGAAAUAUCAGAACUUCAUUGAAGGACUGAAUUCCAAAGUUUAGUGCCUUUUGCUCUGUUUUACUUUAAGGACACUCACCAUACUUAUAUGUAUUCCCAUUUCCCUUGGAAAUAAAACAGAUAUUUAUUUUCACCCAUCCUACAGAUUUUUUUUUAUUUUUUUGGUUAAUUCUACGGUUUAAGCCUUAUUUAAAUUUCUAUACAUCUCUGCACAUUGAAUAAAUAGUUUGUACCUUGUGAGAGUACAAUUUAAGAAGAUAAGUGACAUUUCAAGAUUAAUGAUCCCUCCACUCUAUAUGCUUAAUUCAGAUAUAUAAUAUCAUCAAUCAGACAAUAUAAAAAUUCAGCUCAUCAGUAUCUAAGUCCAAGUGNNNNNNNNNNNNNNNNNNNNCACGUGACUCUGCUCUUUCACGUGCAAUAUCAAGGGAGCUCACAACCUCAAAUUCAUCACCAGCAACAGGAACAUUAUUUAAUCCAAUAACCUGCAACAGACACUGAAAUGUUAUGCAUGGUAUUGAAACAAGGACCAUGCAACAACAAUGGCAGAAUAAAACAUCAAGCCAAAACAAAUUUUGAUAUAAUCAAGAUGCGCGCCAAAGCAACUUCUAGCGUGAGAUAAAAUGGCUGCUCUUAUAAGCUUUAAAGCUUAUUAACAACCAGACAAGAUCUGUAUUACUUCAUGUACUGUUUUCAGUUUUACAAUGGCUACAUUUUCUGUAUCAGAUAAAUCUUUGACAUUCAUCUUCCCAACUGUAACUGUCUCUAGAUUUUACAAUACUGACAAAAUGGCAAGUAGAGAACAAUGAACACAUGCUUAUACAAGCAGUAGCAUCUCCAGAGCAUAUGUAUUUACACAAGAGGUGAAUCGAAAUUCAUCCUACUCAAUUUCCCAGGGUUUUGCUUUCUCGCCCUCGCCCUAGAUUUAUAAUCCUUGGUUUUCCAAGGUUUCUGAUCUUGAUUUAUGUGUUUGCAACAGGCUUCAAUCCGAGUUGAUGGCUCUAAUGGUGAGUAAUCACUGCGACUUGUUCUUUGUUUUCCGUUUGGGGGUUUUUCAAUUUUAGGGUUUUUGGUGAUUUGAUUGAUUGAAAUUGAAUUUAUAGAUGGGUGGAGAUUCGGGGAUAUUUGUUUUCCCUGAAGAAGACAACAUAUUCUACUGGAAAGGGACCAUCAAUGGAAGCAAAGACACGGUUUUUGAAGGGACUCAAUACAGAUUGUUGCUCUCUUUCCCCAAUGACUAUCCCUUUAAGCCUCCCACGGUCAAGUUUGAGACUUUCUGCUUUCAUCCCAAUGUCGAUGUUCGCGGCCAUAUUUGCUUGGAUAUUCUUCAGGUAUUUUAUACUUGUACUAGUGCUAAUGUUAUUUAUAUACAAUGGUGUUUUGUUUCCGUGAUAAUUUGAUUUGAUGUGUGCCUUUGAAACCAAAUGCAAGAGAAAUGGUCUUCGGCUUAUGAUGUGAGAACCAUCCUCUUAUCGAUCCAGAGCUCGGAGGUAAAUUGAGUGUUAUAUCAUACUGAUUUUCUUUGUGUCUGCUGCUCUAUGAAUACUACUUGGAUCAUAAAGCUAUUGUCUUAUGAAAUUUGGGUCUUGUAUAUGUGAAUUACAGAACCAAACACAAGCUCACCUUUGAACCCCCAAGCAGUGCAACUUUGGAGCAAUCAAGAAGGUAAAUCUUGGAUCUCCUUUACUUGUUCAAUUGUUUUGGUUUUCAGAUAGUUUUGCAUGAUAAACAGUGUCUAAACUAUGCUGUGUUUCUUUCUGUCUCUUGCAGAAUAUAGGAAGAUGGUGGUGAAAUUGUACAAGGCUCGAAACGCUUAAUUGAGAUGCAAGGAGUCUUCAGUGUAGGAUUAAUGAUUCGGUUGUGUGUUCCAUUGGUUCAUUUGUUUCGUGUUGAGAAAUUUUAAGGACCUUGUUAUUCAGAGGUGUAGACAUUGAUUCAAAGUUGAAGCUCUCUCUCUCUCUCUCUCACUGAUUCAUUCUACAUGUUUCGCAAGAUACUCUGAUAACCUCCUUAGUCCUUAGUUGAAGAACAGUAAUAUGAAAACUUGGGUUAUCAGGGGACAACCUUCCAUGAUAGUUUUCAAUAUUAGCGCUUAUUUGUGUAUUCUGUCUUUUUGCUCAUUCUGGAUCGAUUUUUUUUCUUUCAUUUGAUCAUUUUAUGCUUCCCAGGUGCACAUCUGAAAGGGAGACUGAAGAUUUGAGAAAAGAGUUGCAUCAUUCGUCAGGUCUGAAAAUACAUAUGGUAAACUGUUUCUUUUUGAGUGCUCAGUCUUUGUUGCAGUUUAUGGUUCUUCAUUUAGAUUUCGCUCUUAAAAAAUGAAGAAAAAAUUUGGAAUUAACACAAUCUUUGUCUCAGUGAUAAUUGUUGUAUUAAAUAGUUACUCUAAAAGGGAUUUAGAGUUCUAAUGGGACGUGUGGAUUUGAAAACUUUUGAAUUGCUUGUCUACAAUUAAUAAAUUGGAUCAUUUGUUUACUGGAUUAUUCAAUUCAUUUUCUGUUGGUUUGUUGUGAAAGACAAAUCUCAUGGAGACGGAAGAGUUGGCUUGGAGAAUGCCAAGAUUUCAAAGGACGACCUCCUUUCCCUUGCUAAGAAGGAUGAUAAAAGUUACCCUUAAUCUGUAACACCUAUACUUUUUAACACUACUGUAACCGACAGCUUGCAUUUUUGUUUUUCUUACCUGUUUCUUUUCCUGCCAUCAAUAAUUGUUUUUCUUAUGUAUGAAAUUUUUCAAGGAGUGCUACAUUUUGGGAUCUUGAAUACAACUUUAGAAUAUCAAGUAUGUCAUGUGAAAUACACGCAAAAAAUGGUGGCUUCAAAGAAAGAAAACUUUGCUUUCAUCUGCUUGAUUUAAUUUUCAUGUUUUCUUAAUCUGAGUAUCAAUAUGAUUUUUCUUUCUUUCUUUCUUCUUUUUGCUUUUGAGUGCCACAAGAAUACAAAAUUGCAGAAAUAACUGGUCAUCUUUUUUCAGGUUCAGUUUAGUAAUCACUAUGGUCUACUGUUGAUGCUUGGUUAUGGUUUCUUUUGGGUGAUUUCCAAUUCAUCAGUUCUCAAGGUAAUGGAGGUGUGCUUAAUGCUCUCGAAUUUCAAAUAUUUUGAUAUGUAAUUUCAAAUUCCUUUUAAUAAUAUAACAAUGAUUCAAAUAUUUUAAAUACGUAUAGGUCAUCUUCAGUUAAUAGAGUAAAUAAAAAGAAUUGAACAAAUUUGUAGGGGCUAUAAUGAUCUAUGUCAAUACAGACAUGCCCACACAUAUAGCAAGCUAAAUGUGUGAGGAUGAAUAAUAAUAACAACAAGGAGAACAAGUAGGAGGAUCAUGAAAGUCUGCUGAAUGCUGAUGUAUAACAAGUAGGGUGAUGUUCUCAUUUUUCGAGAUGGUCAUCCCAUUGCCAGUUCUCCAUUGUCCCAAAACGACUACAAUGAACGCCAAAGACAGUAGAAAGAUUUGGAGUCAAUGGUCAGAAGACAAGAGAGAACUUAAUUGCAGGUUAGUCAAUCAUGCUUUAGACAAAUGAACUUAUUCAAAAUUCAAAGCAUUGCUUAUUAGUUGGUUACAAUCAUAGCAGCUUGGACAUUGGUUUUUACUUUUCAAGUAUUUGGGUAUUCGAAUAGUUUCCAUCAAGUGUUUGAAUGACUGGUUGGACGUGUUUGAUGCUAUGGAUAUUUUUCUGGUAUUGUAGGUUGUGGUCAAGGUUGGUGUGAUUUUGUUGAUCAGGUUAGGUUCUUCCCUUUUUCUGUUAGUGAAGGGAUGUUUUAUUAAUGGUAUUUAGCAGUAGUUUGGGUUUUGUUGUAUUGAUUGUACAGUUGGAAUCAAAACUGAAUUGAAACUUAAGUGGAAAGAACCUAAAAACCCUAUCAGGUGUCAAAACAGAGGCAUGGUCUCAUUAUAAAUCAUUAUCUUAUUCAAAACAGAACUACCUUACUUUUAAGUCUUAAACCUAUGAGGUUGUAUGCAUGAUGCUUACCAGAAAAAUAUCCAUAUAGUAAUUUUUAUUUUUUUGUGAAUUGAAUUGCUAAAAAGGUCUAUGAUGCUUUUUUUUUUUAAAUAAAAAUUGAUGACAAUCGGUAUUGUGUCUAUGGGAAUUAUUAUAUUUAAUGUGCUUUAAACGUAUCCCUUCUUGAUUACUUAUAGCAGAACGGAGCUCUGUUAUAUGUUUCCUUUUUAUGACUUAUUGAUGCAUACUUGUUGCUUAUCCUGUCAAUGUGGAUUUCUAAUGUCAGGGUGAACUCAAGAUAGCAAAUUUGGGUGGUCAGUGCAUACAUUCAAUUGCAGGCAGACUGUGUGUGGCACUCUUGAUUACCUCCCUCCUGAGAUGGGUAUGUUAAAAGACAAGAGAUGGUGUUUUGAAAACCAGUGCUUUUAUGUGCUCUAAUGUCUCAGUAUUUCUUUAUCCAUAUUUUUUUUUUGUCAUUUUCAGUGUAGAGCCGAUGAGAUAUCUUUGAGUGAAAAUCUAUGGAGGAUUUGUUAACAUGUGCCUGGUCGAGUUUGGUUGAUUUUGGGUGGGAUCCAAUAUGUUAGUUUCUCAGGUAUGUUCUUGAUGUUGUUAUGCUUAACUUUAUUGGCUUUUGCGUUUGCAUUUGAAUUUUAUUGUGUUUUCAUUUGAACUUUUUUUGUGCGUUGGCAUGAAAUAUGGUGGUUGAAUGCAAAGAGUGCAAUAUAAAUUUUCCCCAAGAUGGAUUCGUGGGAUUAUAGAUUCGGGAAGUUCCCAAUCCUCUGCUCAGAUCGAAUAGAUAAGUUGAGUGCUUUUGAAUUUUUAAAUUUUUUCAUUCCGUUUUUGUGUGGUUUUUAUACUGUGUGAGAUUGAGUUUAUCAUUUCAAGACGGAUAACCGUUCCCAUUACCUGAUUUGAGCUGAUUCGGCAUUUGUCUGUUCUGCAGUCUAGGACCUCAAUGAUCGAUUGAACCGAAUUCCAGUAUAUAGCUUGCUGAUUUGAUUUUCAUUUUUUAGCAGUUAUUAGGUAAAGCUACAGUUUACAUGCAAUAUACGCAAAUAAAGAAAACUGUGAUUCUUUCCUUCGGAGUUUCAAUCUGAUUUUCAUUUCUUUCUUUCUUUCUUUCUUCUUUUUGCUAUCGAGUGCCAUCCAAAUACUAAGUUGGAGAGAUAACUAGACCUCGUUGGAAACUAAAGGUGGUAAAUGUAAGUACUAGCUCAAUUGCUUUGAUCCUUGGCAGUCGCUAUCUUUUCAAACAUAACAGCAUGUUUUAUCAGAUGAAGAAUGUGAUGCACAUUGUUAUUUUUGACUGGGUUUUCUGUUUCCUUGAUUUGAGCUGAUUCGGGAUUUGUCUGUGCUGCAGUCUAGCACCGCAAUGAUUGAUUGCACCGAAUUCCAGUUUAUAGCUUGCUAAUUUGAGUUUCAUUUUUAAGCAGUUUUUCAGGUAAAGUUACAAACUUUACAUGCAAUGUUCUCAAAUAAAGAAAACUGUAUUGAUUAUAUAGUGGCUUCAAAGAAAGAAAACUUUGCUUUCAUCUGCUUGAUUUAAUUUUCAUGUUUGCUUAAUCUGAGUAUCAAUAUGAUUUUUCUUUCUUCUUUUUGUUUUGGAGUGCCUCCAGAAUACAAAAUUGCAGAGAUAAUUGGACCUGGCUGGAAACUAAAGAUGGUGAAUGUAAUUGCUUUGAUCUCCUUUCCUGUUUUUCACCAUCCUCUUAUUAAAGUGUGUAAUGCUUUUUCUGUUCUUGUCCGGUCGAUUGGCAUUGCAGUCUGGGUAAUUCUUUGUUUGAUUUCAGUUUUGGUUUUGGGUUAUCAUUUGGUUUUCCUUUUUCAUGGUAAAUUUGAAAUUUAGUUCUGUGUUUUCGAUUUAUUGGCAAUUUGAGAUAUGGGUAUCGAAUUUUGGAUUGAGACCCCGGUUUUUUGUGACAGAGAGAGAGGAAUUAGUAGAUGUGAUUGUCAACGUCUAAUUUUCGAGCCAGAUUUCUAAAGCUUCUCCUGUUUGUUCAAUUUCAGGUGAGAAAUGAAUUUUUGAAGUUUACACUUGGUUUGGGUUUUUGGCUCUCAAGUCAUGUUUAUUUACAGUUUUUAUCUAAUCCAUUAGAGUUUUAGAAGAUUGGUUUUCGUGCUUGAGAAUUGUGCUUCAAACUUAGUGAGAAGUUCCUAGUUGUUUGAAUUUGUUUCCCCAAUCCCCAGUCUGUAAACCCAAUUUUGAUGGUACUUAUCAAUGAUACCGAACAAUAUCUCAAUUCGGAUCAAACCAAUCAGCAAAAGGAAAAUAGAAAAAAUUAAAGUCAUGCCAAGGAAAGUGCAACGUUUAGGAAUUAUGCAACAGUUUUACUUAAGAACCGUUGGGUUCACUCGAAUGUUUCCUUAACUUUGAUAAGUAUUUUUGCUUCCUACCUUUUACUUUUAACUGUUUGGUUUGUUGUUCUGCAUUGUGUGGCGUCGUUAUUAGAUUGCUGCAAACCUUUGUUUUCUGUUUUUGAUAUUAACUGUCUCAACAGUUGGGUGGAAAUGAUGGCACCUGUAUUCUCAAGAGCGGCUUGGUGAUGUGUAUAUACACAUGAUUCAGGUAUAAAAACCCUGAAAAACAUGUAGUAUAUGAUUACUUGCUUUUGGUAAUGAACAACAGUAUAUGGCAGAAUAAAUGUCGACUGGUUGAACAUUAGAUCACUCAAGACCAAAGAAUAUCUUGUAGUACAAACCACCAUUUCAUGAAAAAGUAGAGAGAGAGAGAGAGAGAAUAGUCUCUAAGAGUCUAUUGGGCUUAUGGGAAUUUUAGAAUCUCAUUUUGUUGGUGGGAAAAAUUGUCUAGAUUUAGGGCUAGUGAGAAUUUUCCCUAGUAAAUACCUACUGAUAUGACACAUACCAUCAUUGAUUGUUCAACUUGCCUAUGGUCUUGAUGUUCAAUAUUGAUAUCUCAGUUUUUGCCUUUCACUUGCGCAGGGUAUCAAUAACAUGGUUCAGUCUCAGAAAGAGGACUCAAAAGCAUUGGUGAGUUUCUAAUUUUUUUUUUCGAGACUAUUUAACGAUAUAAAAUCUGAUUUUACCUUAUGUAAUCUCAGGCACCAUCUGGCCCUCCUAUACCCAGUGAUAGAGCUAAAGUAAUCCUUUUUUUUGUACUGUUUUAGUAGAUUUUCUUCCAUUCAUGAGCGUAAUUCCAAUAAUCUUGCACCCUCUCUCAUCUCUUUGCAUAGCUGUGUAUUUCUGCUGACUAUUUUAAUUAUUUGUAUACAAUGCAAUCUGCAAGCACUUAUCUGUUGACUGUAUUCUGUUGGCAGGUUAGGAUGCAGUCCUUCAUUGACAUGCGGAUCUUUAAGGAAAGAUGGAGGAAUGCAGUGAAGGAGGAUAACUGUUGGGUUGACCCAUAUUGACUAUCAGCAAACUCAAUCAUCCAUAAAUUCUAUUCAUACGACUUCCUUCAUGUGAAAAUUCGGAGGUUGGUGCCCAUUAUUAUACACAGACAGCGCCAUCAGACCAAAUAGCCUUUGACAAAUAUUUGGAGACCGACAAUGAAGAUGUGAUGUGAAAUGACAUCAUUAUUUUGUAUAGGCAGUAUAUUUUUGUAUCCCUGGCUGGAAAUGGAAUGAUCAAUCCAACAUUUUCUGUUGUGAUUGCAUCACCUUUUGCUGUAAAUAUAACCAUGUAAAACCUAUAUAUUGAUGCAUCAAAACACUAUGAUGAAAUUUAAGAGUAAGUUUGAGCUCUGGUGACAGCCAAAAAUCAAAAUAUAGAGAACCUCUUAUUGUCAUGAAACUAAACUAAGAAUCAAUACCAAGCAAAUACAAGGUUUAGAUUGCUCAUUGUCAUGAAAAUGAACUAAGAAUCAAUAGCAAGCAAAUACAAGGUUUUGAUUGGUACCCAUGUUAACUUCAUCACUUCAGACCAAAAAAAGACUUUCAUUGCUUCUUACUCGUUUCAUCUCUGCAAAGGAACCAAAAACCCGAGUUAAGUAGCAAAAUUUCAUCAACAUAAAAGUUCUGAUUAGAAAACUAUUUACUUUCUAAUAACAGUACGUGCUCAACACUACACACAAACUUCACAACUAAAACAAUGCCAGAUUUUUGGUAUUUUGGCAGCUAGUUUAAUUUUAGCAUAUGAAUUAAGCUAGGUCCUUGCCACAACCACAACCUCCCCCUUUUCAUAUAGCUAUGUUGCCUUUGUUAGCAACAAGAGUAACACAUUUGCAAUUGUUAAAGAGAAAUACAAUGAAGAUGAAAAAGAAGAUGCCCAAAUGCAAAAUAAGACCUUGAGAUUGGUCAAUGGUAAUAGGGCAAUAAGCCAAGAAUCCAAAAUGUGAAGACGAAUAUAUAUACCUUGAUGUAAUCUAGUUAUAUCCUGAGACCACCCAAAACUACCAAGGAGCUGCACCAACUUAUAUUUCACAAGCCAUUUGAUAAAUGAUCGAUUUAAUGGAAUGAUUUGGUCAAUAAAAUUCAGUGCAUUUUCAAUUUUGAUAUGGAACCGGUUCACAAAGACUUAAUUUCCAUCAUACAACUUUAACUCACAAGAUUCUAGUCUACAGAACUAAAGCACACAACUCAAAAAAAAAAUGAAAAAUUAUAAGAUUUUUAUUAGGGAAAAUAUCCAAAUACCCAAAAAUUAGAAAGCUAAAGCCCAUUCUAAUAAAAUUCUAAUCCUUUAAUUCAUUUCAAUGAUUCUUAUACAAAAUAUAUUAUUACCUAUAUAAAAUUAAACCCACACAAUCUGCUCUCUCUCUCUCUCUCUCUCUCUUGAUAUCUACACCGUCACUCGGAGCAGUGCGUCGUCGCCGGCAAGCCACGAGGAGGAGCUCUGAUCUCCAACUCCAAGUAUCUUUAUGCCGUCUCGGUCCAACGUGCCUUUGCCGGCGAGCUAAUUUGCUUGAGCCUCGAGGAGAAGAUCCGAUCUCCAAGCAGCAGAGCUCCGAUCUCCGAUCUGCAAAACCAAAGGCGUUGGAGUCGCGCCGAGUGCCGCUCACGCAAUCGCCGAAUCUGUUACUGGUUUGUUUCCACAAAGCGAUGCGAGCCGAGCUUGCCGAUCUCCGUCUCGUCACCACGACCGCAUUAGAUUAUCAUUUGUCGUUUGCGUAUGUGGAGGGGGAGAGCUUGCUGAUGGGGUUGAAGGAGGUGGCGGUGUCGAGUGGGAGUGCUUGUACUAGUGCGAGUUUGGAGCCGUCGUAUGUGUUGAGGGCGUUGGGGGUGGAUGAGGACAUGGCGCAUACUUCGAUUAGGUUUGGGAUUGGGAGGUUUACGACUAAGGAGGAGAUUGACAGGGCCGUGAAGCUUACGGUGAAGCAGGUGAAGAAGCUGAGGGAGAUGAGUCCGCUUUAUGGUGAAGGAAGGGAUUAAUAUCAAGCAUAUUCAGUGGUUGCACCAUUGAGGGGUUGUGUAGUGGAGCAGUUAAUAUACAUAAUACAUGUGUACUGGUGAGCUGCGUCUUAUGGAGUGGAGAUGGAGAAUUCAAGGUUCAGUUUGCUAUCCUUGUUUGUAAUGCCUUUGACAACUCUCCUUAGUAACUCUAUAUCACUAAAUUUUGCAGACACAGUAUUUUUCUUUUCUAAUAUUUACCCAUUGCUGUUUCAUUUUGUUGGUAAGGAACGUGGGAAAGAUAGGUGAAGAUGGUGUUUUAGGUCUAAUAGUUGAUUAUUGCGGGUCAGUAACUGAUCAUUAAGGUUAUUAAGGGUUAGUAACACGAUUAUUAGGGGUAAGUAACCGAUUAUUGGGGGUCAGUAACAGAUUAUUAGAAGUCAGUAACUGAUUAUUGGGGGUCAGUAACUGAUUAUUAGGGGUUAGUAACACGAUUAUUAGGGGUCAGUAACUGGUUACUAGGUGUCAGUAACUGGUUACUGGGGAAAUUCCGGUAACCGGAGUCCGGCGGUCGAGGAAAUUUCAGUGACCGGAGUCCGGCGGUCGAGGAAAUUCUGGUGACCGGAGUCCGGCGGUCGGGGAAAUUCCGGUGACCGGAGUCCUGCGGCCGGUGAAAUUCCGGUGACCGGAGUCCUGCAGUCGAUGACCGGAGUCCAAGGUUCCGGCCAAGUCUUUUUAUGUUGAAGAGAUGGGGGCAAAAUAGUUUUAAAAUAAUAUAGUUUGUUAAGACUUUAAUAAAGAUUUNNNNNNNNNNNNNNNNNNNNCUCUCUCUCUCUCUCUCUCUCUCUCUCUCUCUCUCUCUCUCUCUCUCUCUCUCUCUCUCUCUCUUCUUGAUUUCUAAUUUCGCAAUCUAAUUCUCUCUGUCUCUCUCAACCCGAAACCCUAAUUCAUACAGAUCUUCAAUUCCCCCAAAUUCUGAUUUCAAUUCGAUCUCUUUAAUUCGCGGCGUUUCAAUCCCAAAGGAAAAACCCCGAAACCCUGGAUUAGGAACCAUUUCGGAGACCUUGUUCUCUACUCUACUCUCUCUUUAACUUUGCGAUUCUUAAUUGUUUAUUACGUGAUUCUCUCCGUUUUUCUCGAAUUUCCGAUCUCUCUGUCGAUUUCCAUGGCAAGCUUCUUCGGUAUCAAUCCCCAUAAGGUUUUUUUUGGAUACAAGGGAGCCAAAAGACCCAAACAAAGAAAAAAAGAGAGUAGAAACUAGAUAGCUCUAGCGACAUUCUUAAACUUAGCAGUAUCACACAAGUCAUCAAGAGCAGCAUUAACAACUUGUGGAGGAGGUUGCUGAAAAUAUUGCACUCCAAACUCAGAACUUAAUCUGGACUUAGAGAGAAUAUUAGCCACCAUGUUGAUCUCUCUGUGCACAUGUGAGACAUCACACAUAAAGAGCUUGUCCAUCAAAAAUUUGCAUCUACCAAGCACACUGUAUAAAGGAUGCAAAUCAUCAACCCCUUUCUUCAACAUUUGAACAAUAACAUUAGAAUCAGAUUCAAUAAGGAGCGAAGUGCAUUGGGAAGUGUAAGCCAUCUUUAAAUCCAAGGGUAAACCCCAUGCUUUAGCGUCCAGAACAGAGCCAUUUCCCAAACUAGCAGCAAAACCAGAAAUCCAAUUGCCAUUACUGUCUCUUAACACACCCCCAGCACCAAUACAACAUCCCCAUAAGGUUUUGUUGCCAUGCCCAUAAGAAGAAAUAUACAAAAUUACCAUUACACACACUUUUUGUUUUUUUCUCGACUAAUACACACUUUUAAGCCUAAAUUACCAGUAACAAGCAUGUUUUUUAAAAUUUUUAUUAUCUGCAUGAAGUAAUAGAAUGAACCAAAAGAGAUCUAUCACACAGGCCAAAGUGUUCCAACUUCUAAGCAAAUUAUGAAUAAAUAAUUCAAUACUAUACCCCCAAAGGCUAUCAGAACAAAAUUUGAGGAAAAAGGAAAUUAUGAAUUUACGGUUUUCCUUGCCUCAAUCAGCCAUUAUUCAUAUUUCUGUUCAAAUAACAAGGCUAACGAAUUUUUAUCUUCUGUCUUCUCAAUAGUGUAGACACGGGCCUCGAAUUUUCAACAAGAAUGAAAAUUAUGAUCUCUUCCCUUGUUGUCAAGGAUUUAUCUCUCUGUACGUAGAGCUAGUAGGAGCUUCAUCCUUGCUGUUAUCCCCUCCUGCUUUUGAGGUCCCAGCCAUUGUUCCUCGGUUGCGAGUUACUGAACCGACUUCCUCAUCAAAACGUUUGCUUCUCUCUGCGUCUUCAUGCGUAACAUCAGCCAAGCGUUGUUCCUCGUCCUUGUCACCCCUGCAUCAUAUUGAGAGGACAACACAUAGAGAUACAUCAAUAGUCUGAUAACAUAAUAUGGAGACACAAGGAAAGACAAACUUCGCCCUAGAACAGCUUUCCAUCACACCACAACAAAGUGGAAAUCAAUGCCCUACUCUUAAGAGAUGAGCUGACAUCUGAUAUGAUCUACAAAGAUUCUACAUAUGUUAGUCAAUCUCCAUAAAUAUCCAUUCUUUCUUUUCACAAGGCCAAGUUAUUUCUUAGAUCAAAUAUUUAAGCACAGAUCAGUUGUAAAGAUCAAAAUAUGUUUGCAGCUGUAAUUAUCAUAGCAUGUGAAAGCAUCAGAUUGUUCAAAUUGAACAUGCUAAAAGUGCAAAACCAAGCUCGGUAUGAGCCAGGCUCAAGCAAUUCACAUAUCCGAUGUCCAUUCAAAAGCCAGAAAAAAAAAACAAAAAACAUGAAAACCUUACGUACCAUGAAUAAAUAACAAGCCCAACAACGACGAUCGCAAAGGCCACAAAGUACAUCCAAUCAACCUGAGUAGGAUUCUUGGCUUAGAAUGACAUCUUCUAAUAUACACUACUCAAGAUGAAAAAAAAAUGAUGAUGCCCAUGUAAUUAGAUUACAGACCUUCUGAUGGUAAGCAAAAAUGCGAAUUAAGACUGCCCACAUGUCUGAUGUCAGCAAUGACAGGUUUAACAUCGUAGAUCCAUUAAUCUGCAAAGGAUGUACAUAAUUUACUACAAAUUGUUUCGUACAACUCAUUCCAAGCUAUUCAUUUGUUUGCUAUGCAAUAGUUAAACCCAAGAUUUAACCAAAAAAAAAAAAACUCCAUGCCUUAAACUGUUGAACAGAAUCAUGCAAAAGCAAAGCACAAACUUCAUUUCUUAAACUACAGAUGAUAUUAUAAAAUGAACCAGUCUUUCUGAAAACAUUGUACUCAGCUGUUGUAAUGAAUAAUUGGACACAAUUAUGAUCAAAACUAAAUAAAUCAAAGAAAAAGGUUAUACAGAAUAAAGCUAUAUUUCCAAUAGUAAGAAAGAACAAAAGAAGAAACACACUAAGAGCAAAUGUGAGGUAAAUACCAGUUUAAGAAAACCUCAAGACCCGUACCUUAAGUAAGAUUGGGACUAAUGAGUAAAAGAGGAACAUAGCCAAUGAAAAUCCAACAAAAGGAAAUGCCUGAAAUUGAAAUAAGAGAUCAAUCAGAAACAAAGCAUAGUUAAAUUUGUCAACAUCAAUGCUCAGACAUCUACACAUUCAUGCUAAAUAAUACUAACCCUGUGCUAAACAGAUCACAACAGUUAUCAAAUAUCAGAAUUUUUCUCCCACUAAAUUCUAUCACACUUGAUUUGAUUAAUCUGCUGUGUGAGUACAUCAUGCUACAUUUUCUAGAAUAUGAUUUCAGAAAGCGAAAUAAGUGCAAUGGAAAUGUCUGAGCAGUCAAAAAAGUCCUCAGCAAUCUCCCAGGAAGACCCAAACCAAGUCCACAUAAUCCACCAAGAGUCACAUUUGGCUCGGUUGGAUCAGAAUGAUCUAAUCAGCAGAGGACAGGGGAUAAAACCAAAACCUGUUGUGACAAACCAAGCGAACUGAAACUUUCCGGGUCAGCUGAUCCAACACAAUACAAAGGACAGUGGUCCAUGACUCCCCCAUGAAGAAGUGAAUAUAUAGUAACAUGGCAGGAGGCAAAGUUGUUCAGAGGACUCCAGUGUACUUUUGCUCACCAGACUGACAUGCCCUACUGUUCUGCUUCUCCACAGAUCCAAGGGUUCAAACCCGAAGAGGAACACACAUUUUGGAGAUCAAAUACUCGGCCAAUAGACACCAGCUAGAAUAGUUUAGUAAUUAGUCCUCAAUUAGUCCUCAAAUCCAGUAGCCUUGUUUCCCUAUGUAUUUGCACGUAGUCUAUCCUAGAUACUCGUACUUUACACCAAAUGAAGUUUUUCCAUCAACAUUACGAGGCUCUCAAAUCUUUUAUAGGACAGAGAGCUUCAAGUCAAAAUUUUCUCGUUCAAAAGGAGAAAGAGUUUUACAUAGUUGUUAAAAGAUAAAAAUUAAAAAGUAAGAGAAGACUUUUGACUUUCUGGUCCCAAUUGCGCGCCUUGAAUACUAAUGAGAGAAGAUGUCAUUAUUUUAUGUUGGUUCAAAGGAAGCCUAAAACCUGGGUUAAGGGGAGCCAAAGAUUUUAAUACUGGCAUAAUGGUAAGUCUUUACCAGGGGAGCUAUGAAACCCACAUUUAUUCAUUUUCUUUUCUAAACAAAAAGAGGUACACUUCGACUUCACACAUCUAGUGUCAAACAUUUGUGUAUCGUAAGAAAGCAUACAAAAUUUACGGUCUUGAAUUAAAUUCUCUGACACCUUAUUCUCUAAACCCUAAACCUUAUUCACGUUUUACCUUGAAGAGAUGUAGAAUUGAUAAAUAUUAUAUGCUUUUAUAUGAUAUGUGUGUGUGUGUGUGUAGAGAGAGAGAUAGAGAGAGAGACAUACAGCUCCAGACGACCACUUGAUGGAUUUGAGCUCAUUACGUUCUAUUACGCUUCUAUUGAAAGUCAUUAAGGGGUUACAACUUGUAAAUUGAUCACAAACACAUAUAAUGAUCAUAAAUCUGUGAUUGAUAAUUUCUAAAUAUCAUGAAACUGAAAAGUUCAAUCACAUCAGAAGUAAAACAGUUAAAGAUGCUGCAAAUAUGGAUGAGCAAGUUCUAUUUAUGGUAAGCAUUUUCACAAUCAGUAAAUCUUAGAAGCCUACAUCACCAAAGGAUACAUUUGGAUCGCACUGAUAAUGGCACCAAAAAAGCCCAGCAAGGACAUGAGUUCAACUCUGUCAGCAUUCUUCACUAGAAACUCCUGAAAAAGGGAGUGAAAAUCAAGCAUUAGCCAUGCAAAUAGAAAAGUUUCCCUAUGUUAAUCUUCGCAUUUCUGAAUCUAUAUAUCAGCAUACGGCCUCUGAAGAAAAUUAGUCAUAAUCUGGAUUCCUGCAACUUAUUAAAAGUGUGUUUUACCUCACUGACGUUAGUGACGGCAUACAGUGUAGCACCGGCAAUUACUAGUGCAUCCCCUUUAAGGGGAUUGCUCCCUCCUACAUACCAUGACCGUGCAUAUGCCAUCAGAAAACCACAGAACAGAGAUAUGUUUGAUAUUUACAAGUAAUUACAUUGUCUAUGGGAAACUAUGCAUGAAAAAAGUACUCUUGACAUAUUUUUACCUGAUCGGUCACCUGCAUGAACAUCUGAGAAAAUAGCUAUGACAAGGCCAGCAAUACAGGCCACCACACCGGUUAUCUUUUUACAUCUAUAUUUUGUAUUGAGGAAUAUCCAUGUAAGAAGCAUGACCGAUGGGAUAGUCCAACAAUCCAGCAACAUUACACUCGUUAUAGAUGUGUAUUGAUAAGCCUUCACCACUGUACGACAUAAUAGCAGUUAUCAGAUAAUAUUGUUGUAGCAAAUUAAUUUUACUUCAAAGUGAUGGCUUUGAAAAGCCUGGGCACACGACUUCUAUUAUAAAUGAAGAUUCAAGAAAUAGCAGUCAUCCACAUAAAAAUUGACUAUUCAAUUGUUGUAUUUCUAAUUUAAACGUUGCAUUUAUUUGAUGUUUAUGUAUGUUGAAUCUUUUUCUUUAUUUAUUUCAAAUACUUCAAUAUUCAUCACUUCAUUCUAGGAAGCUAAUUUCUGCCUUUAGGCACCAAUAUCAAGUAUCUAGAGUUUCUGCUAUAAUGUUAAACAAAACAAGUAAAAAUAACUGAUCAUGUUAUAUGAGUCUACAACUCCAUAAAAGUAAAAGAACAUUGGGCAGCUCAUUUCCUCAGACACUUGAAACCACUCAAAGCGGAAAACUCUUCCAUAAUCAAAGCAGAAUUAGUUGUAGGCAUUCACUGUAUUGUGAAACCAAUCAAAAAGAAACUAUAGAGGAAAACAAUAAGAAACAAAUAAACUUUAAUAAUACAAUAAUAAGAUUCAUAUCUGAAGUAGGGACAUAUCCCUCAGAAUUCCACAAAUAACAAAAUACACCAGUGUGACUGGAAAUAUUAAGAUGCAACAAAAGAAGUUAUAGUCAGCAAAUAAAACUGAUUUAACAUGUGGAUAUAGAUACUGACCUAGAAAAUUGGCCUCCACAUCUAUCAACCCAAGAAGUAAAUAGUAAUACCAUUUAGCCUGCAGAAUUUCCAAAAAGAUAAACAAGUCUUUAACAUGAAAAUAAGAGUAUAUAGCUCUAUCCUUUCAUAAUUUAACCUAUGAAAUAAUGUUUUAAGGUUCAUGUAUAACUUUUACAGAAGUUAUACCAGAGCAUUUUGUGAAAUAAACCCAUAAUAUCAAGCUUUAAGAUGAAAAGUCACAAAAAACAUACAAAUCAUAAUCGUAAAGUCCAUCAACAAACUUGGUCAUGUAAUAUCUUACAUGGAAGAAGACUCUUAAUAUUUUUCUUUUCUUCAAGCAUGCUUCAUUAUAUUAUGCUUGAGAUGCAACAUUUUGAAAUUUUGACAAAUGAUCACAAAACCAUUGGUAGCUUAUAUCCUAGUUUGCAGAAUAUUUGUUUACUACCACAAUACCAAGAGCCCUGAUUUGGUUGGAUACAUGGGUCAAGUUCAACAACCAAUAUCCUAAUAAACCCACUUUUAUUCUUGCAGCUGCGGGCUGGCUACAAGGUCUUCUGUUUAGGCAAUGUAGUAUCAAGUCUAUACACCACUGUUCCUAGAAUUGGACUCUUUUAUCAUUACUAAGCACCUUGUAGAUAGUCUUCCUAUGAGUCUGCUCCUUUACAAUAAAUCUUAAGCAUAAGACAUCUCAGUUCAAAAUAAGUGUUUGAAAUGAAACUCAGGUAUGAGGCAUAAAAAAACAACCUUAAGUGGUUUCCUCUGGUAAAUCAUGAUACUUCCAUACACAACUGCUAAGAGGACAUAGUUCAGAAAAGACUGUGAAGUAGGUGCAUUGAUUCCUGCAAAACCAUCAGAUGAAUGACUGAUCAGAAUCCUCUUCAAACGAACUUAAAUUUUAAAUGCACAAAGAUACAAGAAAAAACUCUAGUAUAUAAAAAGACUAUAGUAGGAUGAAACUUCAUAUGCAUCACAAAUAAUAGAAGAUUGAAAGAGGCUCAAACACAUGGCCUCCCCAGAUUCUGACCAACUAAACAAGAGCUAAGUGGUGAAAAUGUAAACAGUUAGAAUCUCCAAGCAAAUAUGAUUCAAAUGUAAAACUGGGACAUGCAUAUAUACUCUAAUCCUCGACUAUGAUUCAGUACCCAAAAUUGAUUAUAUCAAAUUAAAUGGAGCAUGUAACCAAAGGCAUGAUAUCAAACACCAGAUAGAACGUUCAACUGUUCAAGGCUUAAGAAACAAGAUAUUUCCAUAAAAUGGAACUUCACUCCUCUCCUUAUUCCUUAACAAAUCAAUCAGUGAUAUUGGCAUGAGCUACAAUAUGCAAUAAAAUAUGGAUAUCAUUGACACACUGUAAAAGAAAACUGAGAACCUUUCUUAGCCAACUCAGAGGAAGAAAAGCCAGUGGAAGUGAUCAGAAGCGAGAGAAACUGUCCCAACCCAAGACCCACCAACGUCUUCUUCACCCACAACUCUUUCAAAUUCCUCAUAUUCACCAAAAUACAAAGGAUUCCCAGAAAGAUCAGAAACUCAAAAACCCAAAAACACUGAGAGAAGCAAACAGCUCAAAACAAGCAUUUGCAAAAUGUCCACUCCAUUUGCGUUUUGUGACGUCCAAAGAGGACAGAAUUCAACUCAAUAUCAAAAGCCCAGUUGGCAGUUUAUGUUCGUGUUUGUGUUUGCGUAGGACUCAAGAACUCGUACGAAGUGAGAUUAAGGAGGAGAGUGACUGUGAAAACGAGGUUUUAUCUAUCAAAUUGAACCAAUCAACGGCUCACCAGAGUCCCCUAUUUCUAUGCAACACUCUUUUACAGCCGUUCAAUGUUGGCUCCCCAAAAUGCUUUCAAUUAUUACAUUUUGUCUCCCAACUAUUAUCCGUCGUUAUUUGCUUUCGUUUCCAGAAGUGUUGUUCAUCGCAAAUUUUACUGCUUUGUCAUUCACAAGUUCUAUAUGUAAUUAUGCCAUUCGGCACAUUAAAAUAUCGAUACAUUAACUCACUAUCAUGCUUAUAACAAUAAUCUAGAGACAAUAUGUUAAUAGUUUAUCACUGCAAGAAGUUGGUCAUUUGCAAAAGUAGAACUUGAUAGUUGUAUUACGGUUGACCACCACAGAAAGCCAAAAUUUGUACAGGGAAUAUGAUUCAUUCUCUAUUCUCUAAUCAUCGAUGUGCAUAUAAUAUGUGACCUGUGGGGUUGUUACCUAUAAUAAGUUGUAUAAGAUUAGACUCUGGAUUGGAGACUUGGAGUAGAAGAUUGCUUGUUGCAUAAACUUUUUGACCCUGAAGAUGCGCAGGAGUGGAUGUCACUGUUACUGCGACUGUGUUCUAAUGGUGGGGAAUAAAGGAAAAGGUCCGCCUUCCAUGUUUGAAAAAUGGGUUACAAAACUGGAAAGGGACACAACAUGGAGACCUGAAGUUGGUUGUUGGGUAUGAAUGAUAAGAGGACUUGUCUGCCAAUGUUGCAUCAUUUCACUGGAAAUCUGGAAAACCGCAAAAAAAGAACACUUCCACUAAACAUUAAUAUAAAAACUGGUCGAGUUCUUAAGUUCUUUCAGAAUCAAAAGAAGAGCAUACGCUACCAAUUCUGUACUUCACACAUCAAUUAUCAACAAGCUAAGACGGAAAAGAGAAGAAGCAAAAAAAACCCUAGUAAAGUGACAACCAACAGCAGGAAAAUCAAGAACCACUUCAGAUUCAGCUUCUUCGUAGCUCACCCUCUCCUUCAAUUUACAUUUAGCAGAAAGAACUACCACUAUUGUCAGUGUUUUCCACAGUCCUGAUGGGAUGCAACUUAGAAACUACACAUCUCUUGACUCUUGCUCAAGUAACUACACUUUCUGAAGCUCCGUAUUGUGCUUGUUCAAUUGGUCUUUUAACUCCUUUUUCCACCCCUGGAUUAGCCUUUCAUGCUUCUUGAUAAUCUCAGUCUUUAUGUUCAACUCCUCUUCCAUCACACCGAUCUCCUGGAGAAAAGAAAAUCCACCACAUUUAAGCACGCAAGGACCAACAAUCAUAGGGCAAUCUAGAAACCAUGGUUUAACUUAACCUGUUUAAUUUGUUCAGCACUUGUUGGCUGAUCCUCACGUUGCAGACCAAGAAAAUACAGCUGAAGCUUUUUGGCAGCGUCCAUAAAAUCUCUGGCAUGUCUCUCCACAUCAACUGAAAAGGUGACAGAAUAGCGCCAUUAUAGGUAGCAGGAAGGUAAAGUCAUUGAACUGUUCAUAAACUACUGGAAAAGCAAAGAGGGACGCUCGCUAGCAGUCAAUUGCAUGGCACGAUCAAGAGAGUUUCAUUCUUUACAUCACUAACACCUCAAUCCAAUCCGUUAGUUAUCGCUACAACCAAGAGAAUUGAAUGAUUUAUAUACUACUAGUAAGUAGUGACUGAUAACUAUCAGUCUGCACUCCAAAAUUACAGAAGAGCCAAGAUUUUUCAGUCUGCAUUCAGUUAAAUUAAACGAUUGAUAAAAAAAACUCUGUAUAAGCUGUUGAUUCCAUGGACAAAUAUUACCAGCAGACUAAACCUCCAACAUUGUAGAAAGGUCAAAUGAAAGGCUCAUGGAUCUCUCUAACCACUACAAUGAUACUUUCCAGGUGGGUGGUCUACAAGAUUAUGCCAAAAUCAUGAUCAAGUGUUCCACUACAAUAGCAAACAGUUGCAAAUAAAAGAACCAGAUUAAUGAAACAGUAAAUUGCAUCAAUAGAGGAAUCUAAAGAACCAACAGUAUUGCACCCCCUCAAAUCUGAAGACCUCAAAUGCAGCAUAAGAUAUUUGCCAUAGAUCAAACAAUAUGCAUUACUGUUUAGUGUAUUGGAUUGGCUUAAACAGGUCAUGACAACUCAGACGUAACCAUUUUCAAUAUUCAUGUCCUAAACAUAUCCAAUGGACAUAAUCCAAACUACUGAAUUUCUCAUCAAGACUAAAAGACUUUAGCACUUGCUUAUCUAUGAUGUGAAUUCAAGUUUUCAACAAUGUUUCUUAAACAAUGACAAUCGGAAGAUCAAAAGUAACCAUCUUGAUUUCCAUAUCAACCAACUCCUCCAUUGCAAAAUGUUGCACUAAAAAUAGAAUUCUCAUUCCCCAAAGGUGAAAGCAGGCUUAACCAAACACAGAACCAAAGAUAUGCCCCCAUUCUAGACUGUUAGUCCAGUAUUGGCAAAGAAGAAAAUGACCAACUUUGGUUAGAAUACAAUUAGAAACUUCAGGCAAGAUAAGUGUCUGAUGAUGCAGACGAAUCAACUGGACAAAACUAAAAAAGAAACACGUAGAGAUGGAGGAUACAAACUGUGAUGAGAAGGAUGGGGAGAGCGGUCAAUUGCUUGAAGCUCUCUGGCAGGCAAGCAUGGAAGCAAAGCAUCCUCUAGUGCCUUCACACAAGCCACCAUGUCUUCCUUUGGAGAUUGCAUCUCUGAACAACCCAACUCCUGCCAAAAACAAUUUGUUGGAUUUAAGGAUCUGGGUAACAUUUAAACUGCUGGAUUUACUGAACCCAUUAAUCGGGAGCCAUAAACAAGGAAACGAAAAGCUUGACCUCGAUAUGUUGUCUCAAUUUCUGACAGAUGCUUACCUUGAAUCAACCAAGCUCCGUAUGGCAAAGACAACCCUUUCGUCUCCUCUCGUAUACACUGUUCAGCCUUCACCGUCCUUUUUUUUUUUCCAUCAAUUUUCUUUCUCUCUUUCUUUUAAAGAAGAAAAAACAAAAAGACAAAAUAGUUCAAUGCAUUCCGCCCGAAUCUGAAUUACAACGAAAGAAAUUCAAUCUUAAAUGUGACGAUAUAAGCUAGCCACCAACAAUAAACAUAGCUAGCCAACUUAGAGCAUCUCUAACAAUUUCCAUAUUUUUUUGAAAUUCUUAAUUUUAGAGAAUAUAGAACUAUUUUUAGGUCCAACAGCUUUCCUAUCCCAUUUUCCAAAGAGAAAUUUUAAAUACACACCUUUAAUAUCUUAAUACACACCUUUAUUAUUUUAUGUUUCUAUUGAGAUUUUAUAGGUAAGUUAAAUGACCAAAACAUACAUCUAUNNNNNNNNNNNNNNNNNNNNGAGAGAGAGAGAGAAUAGUGAGUGGCAUGGUCUGUAAUUUUGUCAAAUUUUGGGUAUUAUGAUCAUUAUGCAUUUAGAAUUUGAAAUAGACUUGAUGUUGUAUUGUUUUAGGUUUGGGUUUGGGUUUUCGUCCUAAUUUGUAUAAAUAUUUUGAAAGAUGGGUUUUUUGUGUUUUGUAACUGUUUAUGGUAGUAGGAUGUCAUUUUCUAUUAAAAAAAAAGAGAAAUUUUAAAUACACACGUACUCUUAAUAUCUUAAUACACACCUUUAUUAUUUUAUGUUUCUAUUGAGAUUUUAUAGGUAAGUUAAAUUACCAAAACAUACAUCUAUUAUUUAAAAAAAAAUAGCUCUAGAAGUAUUCUUUUUCAACGUCUUCUACCCUAAAAUCGUCGAAAGCAUGUCUUCUCCCUAACCCCAACUCUUCUCCACAAUUCAUUUGAGUUUGUUUUUUUUUUUUUGGUUAUCUGUAUCAGCUUUAGUUUGAUCUUACAUAUCAUAUUGUCAAGUGCUGCAUUUUUAUCAUGACAUGUUUUAUCGAAUAACUAGCUAUCUAUGUUCAAUAUCUACUGUACUUCUACAGUUCUACUAGCUUGUGAAUUUUGAAAACUUGUAUUGGUGAUUUGGAAUUGGGAUAUAACAAUAAUCAUUUGAUUAUAAAUUUAAUGAUGAUAACAAAAAAUUUCUAGCAAAAAUUAGACGAAAUAAUAUGUAAAAAGAGGUACCAAAUGGUAAAUAUACAUUAAUUAUAUUAAAUAAUAGAAUAUUUCAUAAAUUAAGGGCAUUUUAGGCAGUUUGAGAUGUGUAUUAAGUAUAAUACUGAAAUAAAAAACUUGAUAGGUGGUGUAUUAAGUAAGGGGUGUGUAUUAAGAUAUUAGGGGUGUGUAUUUAAAAUUUCUCUUUCCCAAAAUAGGGAUGAAGAAGAAAAAGAAGUCUUCAUUCUCCAAAUUUGCAGCAAAAUCUUCCUUCCCCAAAAUUAAAUUCUUCACGUGCUCCAACGAAUUUAAGACAACAAUAAAAUAUUUUAUUGGGUAGUUUAUUGUUACAAUGAAAUAUAUAAUAUUUUUUUGUUAUAAUUAAUGAUGAUAUAUUAUAUUUUAUUGUUGUAUUAAAUACUGAAAUCUCUAAAAUGGAGAAGCUGUUGGAUUUUGAUCAUAAUUUUUUUGGAGAUUUUAGCUUUUGUUUCCCCAUUUUAGAGAAAAUUUGGGAAAACUGUUGGAGAUACUCUUACGCUCUUAAUACAGUUCAAAAACUGCGGUUAGUUUGCAAAAAAAAAAAAAAAAAACCGCCAUUAAUGCUCAAACUCUACGAGGAGCACUUUUCAGAUCAAUACAAUUUAUUAUUUUCUCAACAAAAAAAAUAAAGAAAUUGGAGAAUAGGAAUACCAGGUGUACAUUUUUGAUUGUUUGUAAAUUCUUUCCAAGUCUUAUGAGCAAAAACCCCAACAUAAACCCUCAAUCUCCUCCUCUUCUUCAACUCAAUCUCCUCCUUCUAUUCUUCUUUCAUUAAUGCUCAAACUCUACAAAGAAACUAUGAAUGAAAAUAACAUUUGUAUUUUGCUCGAACUCGAACUAUAAUAAAAGAAACUCAAUCCUAAAUGUGACAAUACAAACUAGCCACUAACAAUAAAAAAAGCUAGCUAACUUAUAUUUUUAAUACAGUAUUUAAAAACCGCGGUUAGUUGCAAAAAGAAAAAGAAAACCCUCAUUAAUGCUCAAACUCUUCAAGGAGUUAUUUGGAGUCACAUUUCAGAUUAAUACAAUUUCUUAUUUUACUAAAAAAAAAAAAAAAUUAGGAGAAUAGGAAUACCAGGUGUAGAUUGUCUGUAAAUUCUUCCGAAGUGUUAUGAGCAAAAACCCCAGCAUAAACCCUCAAGUAGCAACCACAAAAAAUGAGCAGAAGACACUUGAAGUCUCUGCUCUUGAACUCAAUCUCCCCCUUCUCUUCUUCCUCCCCAAAUCCAACAACAACUUCCCAAUCCUUCCUUUCUUCUCUCAAAUCCAAAACCCAAAACCUCAAUGUCCUCUCCAGAUUCCUCUCCGCCUCCUCUCCGCCUCCCACUCUCGACUUCUCCUCCCCGGAGACCCCCGAAGACUUUGCCUUUCUCCGCGACUCCCUCUCGGAUUCCGCGCCGAAACUUCCGCCAGAUAAGUGCUCUAACGACGCCGUUUUGAUUUCCAAUGCCAUUAGGAAUAGUACUGAUGCAUUUGGGGAUGAAACCCAGAAGUUCCUUAGGAGGUUUAGGGAUGAUUUGAAUGAGAGUUUGGUGGUGGAGGUUUUGAGUCUUGUGAAGAGUGCUGAGUUGGGUGUCAAGUUUUUCUUAUGGGCUGGUAGACAAAUUGGGUAUAGUCACACUGGGUCUGUAUAUAAUGCCUUGAUUGAGUUACUGGAGCGUGGUAGUAGUAAUGAGAGAGUGCCGGAACAUUUUCUGCAAGAAAUUAGGGGUGAUGAUAGAGAGGUGCUUGGGAAGUUGCUUAAUGUGUUGAUUCGCAAGUGUUGCCGCAAUGGGCUGUGGAAUGUGGUUUUGGAAGAGCUAGGGAGGCUUAAGGAUUACGGGUACAGGCCGAGUCAGGCCACUUACAAUGCUUUGGUUCAGGUGUUUUUGAGAGCUGAUAGGCUGGACACGGCGCACUUGAUUCAUGGGGAGAUGGUGGAGUUGGGGUUUAAGAUGGAUGAGUUUACGUUGGGUUGUUUCGGUCAUGCGCUUUGUAAAGCUGGGAGGUGGAGGGAGGGGCUUGCGUUGAUUGACAAGGAAGAGUUUGUGCCCAAUACUGUUCUUUAUACCAAGAUGAUAUCAGGGUUGUGUGAAGCUUCACUCUUUGAGCAAGCUAUGGAUUUCUUGGGCAGAAUGCGCUGUAAUUCUUGCAUUCCUAAUGUCCUAACGUAUAGGAUUUUGCUGUGUGGAUGUUUGAGGAAGAAACAGCUUGGCAGGUGCAAGAGAAUUCUUAGUAUGAUGAUCAUGGAAGGUUGUUAUCCUAGCCCUAGUAUAUUUAAUUCUCUUGUUCAUGCUUAUUGCAGAUCAGAAGAUUACUCUUAUGCUUAUAAGUUGCUUAAAAAAAUGGUAAAAUGUCAUUGCCAGCCAGGCUAUGUGGUUUACAAUAUCUUGAUUGGUGGUAUCUGUGGAAACGAAGAAUUACCUACCUUAGAUAUGUUAGACAUGGCUGAAAAAGCUUAUGGUGAGAUGCUUAACGCAGGGGUUGUUCUAAAUAAGGUAAAUGUAAGCAAUUUUGCCCGAUGUCUUUGUGGCCAUGGAAAAUUUGACAAAGCUUACAAGGUCAUCAAUGAAAUGAUGAGCAAGGGUUUUGUUCCCGACACUAGUACAUACUCUAAAGUUAUUGGCUUAUUGUGCAAUGCCUCCAAGGUAGAACAAGCAUUUUUGUUGUUUGAAGAAAUGAAACAAAACGGUGUUGUUCCUGAUGUCUACACAUAUACUAUCCUAGUCGAUAGUUUUUCUAAGGCUGGCCUUAUUGAACAGGCUCAGAGCUGGUUUAAUGAAAUGGUAGGGAAUGGUUGUGCACCAAACGUGGUAACUUAUACGGCUCUCAUACAUGCUUACCUUAAAGCAAGGAAGGUGCGUGAUGCAAAUCAACUCUUUGAGAUGAUGUUGACUCAAGGUUGCAUUCCUAAUGCUGUUACUUAUAGUGCCUUGAUUGAUGGCCACUGUAAAGCUGGAGAGACUGAAAAGGCUUGCCUGAUUUAUGCAAGAAUGAGAGGUGAUGUAAAUGUCCCUGAUGUUGAUAUGUAUUUCAAAAUUGCUGAUCAGAGUUUGAAAGAGCCUAAUGUUCAUACUUAUGGAGCUUUGGUGGAUGGUUUAUGUAAAGCCAACAAGGUCAAAGAGGCCGGUGAGUUAUUGGAUGCUAUGUUCGUAGAAGGUUGUGAACCUAACCACAUUGUUUAUGACGCUCUUAUAGAUGGAUUUUGCAAGUCUGGGAAGCUCGAUGAAGCACAAAAGGUGUUUGCCAAAAUGUCAGAGCACGGGUAUAGUCCAAAUGUGUACACGUACAGCUCCUUGAUUGACAGGUUGUUCAAGGAUAAAAGACUGGAUCUUGUUUUAAAAGUCUUGUCUAAAAUGUUAGAAGAAUCUUGUUCACCAAAUGUUGUUAUCUAUACAGAGAUGGUCGAUGGCCUUUGUAAGGUUGGAAAGACUGAUGAAGCUUAUAAGCUUAUGUUAAUGAUGGAAGAAAAAGGAUGUAAUCCUAACGUUGUGACUUACACUGCAAUGAUAGAUGGCCUUGGGAAAGCAGGCAGAAUAGACAAAUGUCUUGAGCUCUUUAAAACAAUGAGCUCCAAUGGUUGUGCUCCCAAUUUUAUCACCUACAAGGUUCUGAUUAACCAUUGCUGUGCACAUGGUCUUUUGGAUGAAGCUCAUAAACUUUUGGAUGAAAUGAAACAAACAUAUUGGCCAAAGCAUCUGGCAGGCUACCGUAAAGUUAUUGAAGGUUACAACCGAGAGUUCAUAGCCUCACUUGGGCUUUUAAGUGAGAUAAGUGAGUGUGAUUCGUUGCCAAUCGCUCACAUAUACAGAGUUUUGGUUGAUAAUUUUGUUAAGGCUGGAAGACUGAACGUGGCUCUGGAGCUGCAUGAAGAGAUUUCUUCUUCUACCCCUUUUACAUCUGCUAACAAGGAUAUGUAUACUUUACUGAUUGAGAACCUGUCACAUGCAAAUAAGGCUGAUAAGGCACUGCAGAUGUUUGCAGAAAUGAUAAGGCUGGGUGGUUAUCCAGAGCUUAGUACAUUUUUCCACCUUAUCAAAGGGCUUAUUAAAAUUAAUAGGUGGGAUGAAGCUCUUCAACUAUCGGAUAGCAUAUGUCAGAUGGUUUGUCUCUCUAACUCCCUUCUCUUUCUUACCACAAUACAUUAUAAUACUCAAAUCUAUUCUUUUACAUGAAUUUGUCAAAUAUCAGAUGCUUGUUAUACCCUUUGAUAUGUUGUGGGAAUCUAAUUCCUAUUUAGGUGUGUGCACGGUGCAGUAUCAAACAGUGUUACUAAACGUAUCUUAAGGCUGCAUCUUUUAUUAUGCCGCUAUUAGUUUUUUCUUUCUCAUUCUUCUGGGAUGAGAGGAGCCUUUCUGACCCAAAAAAGGAAAUCAUUGUGCAUUAGUUUUUAUUUUCCUUCUUUCCCUUCUUACUUCUUAUAUUAAUUGUUCAUUCUCAAUUUAUUGAGCAGGAUAUCCAAUGGCUUCUGCAAGAAGAGACGUAUGACAGGAAGUAGUUUCUUUUCUAACCCAUUGAUUUAUGUGCACUCAUUCAGUCUGAUGACUCACUGGACAAAGGAUGGGCCCAAGGCUUGUGUCAGAUUAUGCUGAAUGGGCAUAUGGAGGUCACUGCUGCUAGAAUUUGUUUACCGCAAAAGGUUAGGAACUCAGCAUACUUUUUUUGACGCCUCUGGACAGCAGCGUUCAUGUGUGCUACUGUUUGAUUGCUACUUGCUGGUAAACUUACUAUACUCUUCAUCAUGAUAAGUAUCGAUAUGUCUAGCUCUGGCUCUGCCAGUAUACUGCUGAUGUUACUCAUCGAGUGCAAAGUUAACCGGUUUUGAUAUCAUGGGGAAGUUGUUGCUUUAUAGUUAAAUCAUGUCUAGGUACUGGAGUGGGUCUUUCCAAACUAUGUUUUGUUGAUAGGACAUGUGGGUGAACAACAUGCACGUACAUUUUUAUCAUUCCUCAGAGUACUCUCUAUACUCAAUUUGGAAAUGGGGCUUAGGUUAUACGCAAUUUUCUCACUUCUCUGAAGGGGGCGAGGUAGCACAAUUGCCGUGUUUGCAUGGGAUUUUAGAGGGGUUUCCUCAAUUUUUGUUUUUGUUUUUUUUUGGUUUUAUUCCUUUUUUUUUUUCUUUUUUUCUUUUUUUUUUUCUGUUAUUUUUUUUUCCUUCAAUUGUGAACUUAUAAAAUAUAAGACUGAAACUGGAACUUGGCAGUUAAAAAUUACGUGUAGGCUUUAGUGAGCAUUUGAUUGGGUAUCCAUGAUAGUGUAAGUUGUACAUUUUUUGCCCAAGUACUUGUGGUCGACGAAGUUUAUGAUUCAAGUCAUACUUGCUCAUCAUUCAGCUGAUUGAAUCUUCGCCAAUUUAGUUCUGUCAUUUAUAUAAGUUAUCUAUCUGGUUAUAUUUUGUAUAUGGAAGGUGAAAGAAAAUUUGGGUGGAAGAAUAGAUGCAAUCCUGAACGUAGACUGAGAGGUCCGUUGAGUUUUCAUGGGACUGUGUGUGGUCCUUUAAGUUCUUAGAUUUUUUAUGUUCCUUGGAUUAUGGUCAAUUUUGUUCUCUGUAUUUCCACUGUAGGGAAAAUUCCCAAGAUUUCACUCACAAAUCAGUUUAAUUGUGGGAGUCAGAGUCCUUGAACGUAGCAUGAAAGAAGGGCCAUGGGAAGACAAUUGUCCAGAAUUUAUUUAGCAGCAGGUCCAGCCCACAAGAGAACUAGAACAGUUGAGGGAAUCCAUCUGCUUGAUCCACUAUUGAAGGUAUUCUUUCUGCUGAUGGAUUGUUUGAUUUGUUGCUAAACUUGUUGCACAAAAGUGAUGCAUUGUGUUUCUCAAAUGUUUUCUAAAAAGAGAUUGAGUCGGUUAUUCUUUUCAUUGAACAAUUAAAUAAUUUCUCAGAAAACCCUGAGUAAUUAUGUCCUAGACAUUACCAUUUUAGUUAAUUACACCUGAUCUAUCCUUUUAAGGCAUAUGGUCUUACGUAGUCUGAUGUUUUCAGUUCUAUUCAAGCACUUCCAUGUCCUUCAGCUAAGUUUUAAAUCUAAUGAAGACUGACGUUAUUACAGACAGAUACGAUGACCAAGAUGUUUAUUAUUAAGUGGAGCAAGUGUUACCUCUAUGAUUCUUAAAAAUAAAAACAAUCCUUUUCUCUUUUCUCUACUGUUUAUUUUUUUCUUUGCCCCGUCAACUUUUCUUCCCUUUUUAUUCUUGGAUGAAACAAGUGCCUUUUGAAAUUGCAUGCUUUUGUUGGGUGAAGUUUGUAAGUGUCUUGGCUGACCGAUUCCUAUUACAAGUCUCGCACAUAGGUCGCAGGAUGCUAAUUGCCACUUUCAAAUUUGUUUUCUUUGUUUCUUGUUAUAGAUAUUUUCAUCCUCUAGGACAUGCCAUCAACAUGGUUUAGUACAUCUGAUGCAAAACCAAAAGAAGUCAGGAAGAGAGAGUGGGUUUGUUUCAGCAAUGAUUAGGAAUCAACAUGGGAAGCUCUAGCAGAAUGUUCAAUAUCUCUUGAUUGCACUGAUGGGACCCUUUCAGUAUAUUACCUAAUGCAUAACUCUUUCCAAGCAAUAGUUAACUCUUUCCAAGCAAUAGUUAGGUGAAUCUGUGGGAAGGAUGAAUUAGUGUGAUCUACCAAUGAGAAUGUCAUGAGAGUUAGUGUGUCAAGUUCACUGACAAAAUGAAGUUGAUAUCUGGCAGGUUAAGGUUGAAUUUGAUUUUGGGGGUGAAGGCAAUGAUAAUGAUAUGAAAUUCAAGGCGAGGGUUGUACGCUGGUGCUCAGUGCUCUUAUGUUUACUAUGGCAAAUGAAAAUGACUGUUGUUUUAUAUACCGUAGUAUAGAUUACAAACUUACCAAAUAAUUACCUUGUAGGUAACUUUUGUUGAACCCCUGCAGAGAAAAAGAAAAUUAAAAAGAAACUGCAAGCCCAAGCCAAAAUUUACCCAUUCCCAGAGGUCUAUAUAUCCAAUUGGAUGUUCCGUGGCGGAGUGUGUAGGAUAAGACUUAAAACUGGGAUGCAGGUUCAACCCGGAUGAUCAUAGUCAUCGCGCCAAUAUGUAACAAACAUAUGUAAAAGAUUCAUGCAUCAAGUGAAACUGUCUAUUCAACAUUCCUCGAAUAAUUUUUUUUUUUCGACAAGAUACAAAAAUUUACAAGAUUCCACAAAUCAGAAUAAAAAGAGGGACAGAGGCACAGAAGAGUGAGGGUCAGGCUUGAACUCCAAACUGAUUUUGCAAGAGCAUUGAUCCUUGCUUUAUGUGCUUCGAGGAAGAGAUACGGAACAGUACGGCAAAUCGCCGGAUAUCCUGAAUUAUAGGUAAGACGCGCUAGGGACAAGCUAUUUGUUGAUCGACACUGUUGAUGACGAUAUUUGAAUCUCCUUAGACCAAGAAAUGAGUGAAGCCAUGAUACUAAGUAGCGAUCAGGCCAGCUUGAAGAGCUAAAGCUUUCAUUGUGAGAAUCUUAGGAUGUCCAGUUUUUUUUGGUUGGAGCUAGGAUUGGUUGUCCUUUAGAAUUUCGGAAAACAAAGCCGGAGGCUGUAGAAUGGUUAACUGAACCAUCAAAACUAAGUUUAGGCAAUUUGGAAAGGGGGUGGUGAAGGAGUUGUAUCCUAAAACAAUCAUUUUGAUGUAAUUAUUAUUGUAGUUAUUAUUAAUCAAAAUGACAAGUUUAUUGUUCAUUGUUUAUCUUUAAU